Molecule: small nuclear RNA, 113 nt
Filed under: Jaculus jaculus (lesser Egyptian jerboa)
Lineage: Eukaryota; Metazoa; Chordata; Mammalia; Rodentia; Dipodidae
Source: RNAcentral
GUGUUCACUCACUUUGGCAGCACAUAUGCUAAAAUUGGAACGAUACAGAGAAGACCUACCUCUGGCCCCUGCACAAGGAUGACAUGCAAAUUCACAAAGUGUUUGAUAAUUUU